UAGGGAAUAUUGGACAAUGGGGGCAACCCUGAUCCAGCCAUGCCGCGUGAGUGAAGAAGGCCCUCGGGUUGUAAAGCUCUUUUGUCCGGAAAGAAAAGCUUCGGGUUAAUACCCCGGGGUUCUGACGGUACCGGAAGAAUAAGCACCGGCUAACUUCGUGCCAGCAGCCGCGGUAAUACGUAGGGGGCAAGCGUUGUCCGGAUUUACUGGGUGUAAAGGGCGCGCAGGCGGGAUAAAAAGUCAGUGGUGAAAUCCUACAGCUUAACUGUAGAACUGCCCUUGAUACUUUUAUUCUUGAGUUCGGGAGAGAGAGACGGAAUUCCAGGUGUAGUGGUGAAAUACGUAGAUAUCUGGAAGAACACCAGUUGCGAAGGCGGUCUCUUGGUCCGACACUGACGCUGAGGCGCGAAAGCGUGGGGAGCAAACA
Molecule: ribosomal RNA, 427 nt
Filed under: uncultured bacterium
Lineage: Bacteria
Description: bacterial SSU rRNA
Rfam family: Bacterial small subunit ribosomal RNA
Source: RNAcentral